Molecule: non-coding RNA, 1253 nt
Organism: Physcomitrium patens
Lineage: Eukaryota; Viridiplantae; Streptophyta; Bryopsida; Funariales; Funariaceae
Source: RefSeq, a predicted model, not a curated record
AUAUAAAAAAAUCAUUUUUGAUCGUGCUUUAACAAGAAGUCGAGGCUGUAUUUUCAUUGUGAGCAGGAUGCACCAUUCGUGGAGGGAUUGUUUCCCAACAAGACACACAAUGAUGAGGGAUGAGUGACAGCCCUUCUUUGAACCGCGGUACAUUCUUUCUUAAUUUCUAAAUAGUCUCUCUUAACAUUCAGUUGGUCUGCAGAUUUAACAGCAUCCAGGGGUGAUUUCUAAGGGUCGCGUGCGAGGAAAUUACACUCUUUGGUGGCAUGUUAAAGGCUACAGGUUCACUUGUGCAGGCUCUUGAGGGAUCACGUAUUCGUAAACUGACGUAACGAACUCAUUCAACUUAAUUUCCAAUUAUGAGCAGUAACUCAACAUGCAACUGAAAGACGUGGAAAGAUUGGUGUGAAAGUUCACCCCAGGGCUGGUGUUUCUCAGGUCUUGGAGAAUUGCUGCCUCGGACAACAUAUCGAGUGGACAAGUUGAACAAUCUUCACAACGCUCUGUGCUCAACGCUUCAUCAUGGAUAAAUAUGGUUUCAAUUCGCUUAUGAACAUUUUCAUUUGUUUUAUCCUUUUCCUCCGUUUUGGAUGUUUUGGCUUCCUUCUCGCCACUCAAAGCAGCCAAUGCUGUUGUGUUGGGUGUAUUGUCGUUGACCUCUUCAACCCUCAUUUUGAAAGGAAAUGCAAAGCUGGGAUCUAAAUACGACUCAUUCUCAACACUAGUGUCUUCAUCCGGGGUGUUGAUGAAUACCGAGGUUGGAGGAGGAUUGUUGAUUCCGGAAGAAGGGAUGUGUAACAAGGAUACGUAUGUGGAGUCGAGAGCAUAUGUUUCUAGGAUGUUGGGUUUUAAGGCGGCUUUGCUUACAAAUUGGAAUUUAUGACUACGGCCAUCAGAUCGCAUGGGACGGGGUUCUGCAAUGUCAUCUUUGGAUACUCCACAUCCCAUGACGGUCAAAAGUUUCAGUAGAUUCUCAAUUGCUCCGCUCCACUGCCUGUAGGUUUGAUUCUUGUGGCCAAUUUCUUGUGGCAAUGCGGUUGUGGCCUUAGCUGCAUACAGGCCCGAGCGAAAUGAAAGAAUCUGUGGAGAUGACGAUGUUUUGGUGUGCCUCUCGCUUCUUCGGCAGUAGGAUAUUCUAGGCUUGCAGAUCAAGUAGUUAACCUCUUGCUAUCCAAUUCUGCGAAGCUGUACUUCAAUCCUCUUGUCCAUGAUAUAAACGGCGACGGCUCAAUUCGGUCUCUGCAAUAAUUUCA